AACUUUUGACAACGGAUCUCGCAUCGAUGAAGAACGCAGCGAAAUGCGAUACGUAAUGUGAAUUGCAGAAUUCAGUGAAUCAUCGAAUCUUUGAACGCACCUUGCGCCCCUUGGAAUUCCGAGGGGCACACCCGUUUGAGUGUCGUGAACAUCCUUCAACCUUUCUUUGGUUUCUUAACCGGGGAAGGCUUGGACUUUGGGGGUCUUUCAUUGCUGGCCUCUUUGAAGCCAGCUCCUCCUAAAUGGAUCAGUGUGGUCUGCUUUGCCGAUCCUUGACGUGAUAAGAUGUUUCUACGUCUUGGGUUUCGCACUGUCGCUUUAGACCCCGCUUCUAACCGUCUUGCAUUCAAGACAGAGUUUUAAACCUUGACCUCAAAUCGGGUGAGACUACCCGCUGAACUUAAGCAUAUCAAUAAGCGGAGGCU
RNAcentral lists this unclassified non-coding RNA (425 nucleotides) under uncultured Russula. RNAcentral describes it as "sequence contains ITS2". The stretch from base 1 to 145 matches the Rfam family "5.8S ribosomal RNA". The record is from RNAcentral. Lineage: Eukaryota; Fungi; Basidiomycota; Agaricomycetes; Russulales; Russulaceae.